GAACGCUAGCGGCAGCCUAGCACAUGCAAGUCGAGGGAGGAGCUUUCGGGCUUCGACCGGCGUACGGGUGCGUAACGCGUAUACAAUCUGCCUUUCACAUAGGGAUAGCCCGAAGAAAUUUGGAUUAAUACCUAAUGGCAUAUAGGGGUGGCAUCACCUUUAUAUUAAAGCUGAGGCGGUGAAAGAUGAGUAUGCGUUCUAUUAGCUAGUUGGAGAGGUAACGGCUCCCCAAGGCUACGAUAGAUAGGGGUUCUGAGAGGGAUAUCCCCCACACUGGUACUGAGAUACGGACCAGACUCCUACGGGAGGCAGCAGUGAGGAAUAUUGGACAAUGGUCGGAAGACUGAUCCAGCCAUGCCGCGCGCAGGAAGACGGCCUUAUGGGUUGUAAACUGCUUUUGCAGGGGAAGAAUAAGGACUACGUGUAGUUUGAUGACGGUACUCUGCGAAUAAGCAUCGGCUAACUCCGUGCCAGCAGCCGCGGUAAUACGGAGGAUGCGAGCGUUAUCCGGAAUCAUUGGGUUUAAAGGGUCCGUAGGCGGGCUAAUAAGUCAGAGGUGAAAGCGCUCAGCUCAACUGAGCAACUGCCUUUGAAACUGUUAGUCUUGAAUGGUUGUGAAGUAGUUGGAAUGUGUAGUGUAGCGGUGAAAUGCUUAGAUAUUACACAGAACACCGAUAGCGAAGGCAUAUUACUAACAAUUAAUUGACGCUGAUGGACGAAAGCGUGGGGAGCGAACAGGAUUAGAUACCCUGGUAGUCCCACGCUGUAAACGAUGGUACUAGCUGUUUGGUUGCAAGACUGAGUGGCUAAGCGAAAGUGAUAAGUAUCCCACCUGGGAGUACGCACGCAAGUGU
This 854-nucleotide ribosomal RNA is filed under the name uncultured Bacteroidota bacterium. Its description in RNAcentral is "bacterial SSU rRNA". It matches the Rfam family "Bacterial small subunit ribosomal RNA", at positions 31 to 895 of the family's 1533-position model. The record is from RNAcentral. Lineage: Bacteria; Pseudomonadati; Bacteroidota.